RNA transcript from Cygnus atratus (black swan), 4333 nucleotides. It is a transcript of the gene named calcium responsive transcription factor, with no coding region annotated. The transcript has 21 exons. The record is from RefSeq and is a predicted model, not a curated record. NCBI's taxonomy places the organism in Eukaryota, Metazoa, Chordata, Aves, Anseriformes, Anatidae.
CGGUGGGCGCCGCGCGUGCGCCGAGGGGCGGCCUCCAUGGCGGCGCCGGCGGGAGCCGAGGCGAGGUUUGUAAUGGGCAGCCGAGCUCCUUGAACGACUUUUCUUUGGGAUGGGAGGUCAUCUGGUAAUGGAAGAAAAUGGAGUUGACCAUGAUGUUGCUAUGGAAAGAUCUAAUGUUUUGUUUGUAGGCAACUGCAAUGGUACAGGACAGUUGGAAACAAACGAUCAGGUUUUUCAGUGUUUAACCUGCAUGGAUUCCAAGGAUCCGUUGUUUGGACAGAGCGACUCUCCCACAGCCUUGCCUAUCACAGUACGCUUUUUGGGUAGUUCUCCGUCAUUAGCUGCACCUGCACGGCCACCCCAGCCUCAGCCUCUCUCCACAGAGGAGUUCCACCUGGUAGACCAAAACGGGCAGCCUCUCUAUGAGCUGCAGCCCCUAGGAGGGCCCAGCGCGCAGAUGAUGAUUGUUGCCAGCCAGUCAGAAAAUGGCCAGGUGCUGCAUGUCAUUCCUUCUGCCCAGCCAGGAGUGGCCCAAGUGAUUAUUCCUCAAGGUCAGCUUCUGGAUGUGACCAGCACUCAGGAUGUUUCAGAUGAGAAGUGUGGUGAUGGGAACUUGCAGACUGUGGCAAUGGCUGCUCUAGCAGACAGUGCAAGCAGUUAUAUUCUGCAUCCACAGGCAUCUCUCACUGUAUCAAAAAAAACAACCACCAGGAUGUUGGAAGACCCCUUUCCCAUCCCUCUCCAGCAAUUGCCACCAAACACACCUGCAUGGGCACGCCGUCUCAGGAACUGUGAGAAAAUUGGGGACUCAUACCGCGGCUAUUGUGUGAGCGAGACAGAAUUAGAGAGUGUUCUAACGCUACACAAGCAGCAAACACAAAGUGUGUGGGGGACGCGCCAGUCUCCAAGCCCAGCCAAACCAGCCACACGGUUGAUGUGGAAAUCUCAGUAUGUCCCAUAUGAUGGGAUCCCCUUUGUCAAUGCAGGAAGCAGAGCCAUUGUAAUGGAGUGCCAGUAUGGACCAAGAAGGAAAGGGUUCCAGCCCAAAAAAGCCAGUGAACCUGAAAGGAUUUCUGUCCAUCUGUACAAAGCCACUUGUCCGGCAAGGAUCUAUAUUAAAAAGGUUCAAAAGUUUCCGGAGUACAGAGUUCCUACUGACCCUAAAAUUGACAAGAAAAUCAUAAGAAUGGAGCAGGAGAAAGCAUUCAACAUGCUCAAGAAGAACUUGAUAGAUGCUGGUGGUGUCCUCAGGUGGUAUGUACAGUUACCCACUCAGCAAGCCCACCAAUAUCAUGAAAUAGAAACUUCCUGCCUCCCUUCUUCACCCUCCCAUUUUUCUGCAUCUUCUCCUGAGGAGGAGGAGGAAGUUGCUAGAGAUGAGAACUGUACUCUGCCUUCCCGACUUCAUCCUCAAGUGGCAGACAAGAUCAGAGAACUGGUGUCUCAGGGAAUAGAGCAAGUCUAUGCAGUGAGGAAACAACUGAGAAAGUAUGUGGAAAGAGAAUUAUUCAAGCCUGAUGAAGUGCCAGAGAGGCAUAACCUAUCCUUCUUCCCCACUGUGAACGACAUCAAGAACCACAUUCAUGAAGUGCAGAAGUCCCUGAGAAAUGGCGAGGUGGUGUAUAAUUCAGAAAGCAUUCCAGCGACAUUGCAGUGGACCACAGACAGUGGGAACGUUCUCACAGAAACAGUGACUGUUACUUUUGCCUCACCAACUUCAGCUGGGAGCUCACCAGCAGAGUCAAUCAUCACCAAAGGAGAAUCCAACCAGAGUGGGGAGUCCUUGCUACCAGAAACAGCUCAGCUGUUGUCUUCACUAACUUCACUUCAGCCCAAGAUAUUUGCACAACUUCAGGGAUUACAGCUGCAGUCAACUUUUACCUCCACAAAUGAAUCAACAGCCCUGAUAGCUGUAAAUAACCAUUCCCCUCCCAGCUCUGCAAGUCUCUUGGAUUCCACAGGGAGUGCAAUAACAAACCAUUCUCUAGUACUUGGUCAGGGGCACAGUCUGCAAGCAGGUGCUGGCCUAGCACAGCAUAGUGCUGCUGACUCUGCUUAUGGGACUCCACCUGGCUCUAAUCAGAGUCUGGUCACCAUGGGCCAGCUGGUAGCAGUUGAAGGGGUAGAUGAUUCCAGAAGCCUAGAGGGAGGAGUCCAGCAAAUUCUUUUGGGAGGUGUACAGACUAUUCCAGUACGGAUUGUGGACAGUCAUCCUGUGCUUACUGAAGAAAAUACAGAGGGAGUUAUCUGUGUAAGCCACGUUAAAGAAGAGCCAAGAGAAAAAGCAUUAUCCAUGGAGCCAGACAAAAUCAGAGACUGCCAGAGAUCCUCUUCUAUUUAAAUCUGUGAAGGCUGUAAAGGAUUUUUCAAAGCAGAGGAUUCUAAGUGUCUUGGAAGGAAAGGCAGGUACUCUAAGUAAUGCCAUUCUUUUAAAAUGGUAUUGUGACGUUCAGACUGGGCAUAUUAUACACUAGUUCUGACAGACAGCUGUUUUGAUAUACAAUUGAUGUGACUCACUGCCAAUUCCAGGUCAUCCAGUUACCAUGUGGAACACCAGCUCUUUUGUUUCAUAUUUUGAGUAGUUUGGACACUAUCCACAUGGCCCAUUUUGGUCAGCAUUUCUGAAGGUCUUCCAUAAUUAGUUUUAGAAUAUGGAUUAAAAUGCUGGGUUUGCUUUUCUCCUUGAGACCCUCGACUAUUACAGCACUACAGAGACUAUAAAAUCUGCCAGCUUCCAGACCACAGAAUCCAACAGCAAAGUGUAUCAAUGCAUCAAUAGUUUUGUGACAAAAUGAAGGCCGAAGAUGGUACAUUUCAAAGUGAUGAAGGACACGGAUAUUUAAGAAAAGCGACUUUGACCCGAUCGUAAUGUUAAUGAUGUGAAGAUCCAAGAAGAGGAGAAAGGAUCGCUUACCUCUGAGAGUACUCCAGCUAAAACCAGCAAGAGAUCAGAAUGGAGAACAGAAGAGGAAGUGAAGUUUGCGUGAAGCUGCUUCCAGGAGAUUAGAAAGCUAUCAAAGUUGCAGCUCAAGAUUGCAGUUUCUUCUGGCUGAAGUGGUUCACUUUGAAUGUGUGCUAGUUAUCUUCUGAAUGCAAACUGGUAUAACAACAGUUCUUGGUUGUUGACAAAGCUGCUACCACACCUGAGGUUUUGUACCUGGAAGGAGAUGGAGGUUCAAGCGUGGAGGAGUUGUUCUGAGGAAAGGAUGCUGCAGCAGUACUUUCUACUUCAUUUACUUUGGUAGUGUUGCUCUUGCAAGUGAUGAGGGUGGUAGCAGCAUCUUCACAGCAUUAUAUCUAGCUAUGCUUCUGAAGGGGAUAAAGUUAGAGAGAGCAUUUUCCUGUUGCGGUCAGAAGGGAACUUCCUUAGAAAAUUCUCUGUUAAAAUGAACAUGGCAAAUCAUUAGAGCUGUUUGUAUGGAGGACACAAAACUAUUUGUGGUGGACCAAGAAGACUUCUUAGCUAAUAAAUUAGAGGAAGAGCUUCAAAAAGGAUUGCACUGUCAUUGUAACUUCAUCAAGUAAUUUCUUCCAAUGAUAUCACUCACUUUUGACUAUUGUUUUACUGUUUAGUUAUUGUAUAAUAUAUUUCAUAAAUUUUCUUGGCUAUGUAAAGGCCGUAGAUGAAAUGCAUAUAAUGAUUCUCUUGUCUUCUGAGGUUCUGUCAAAGAGAGAGGAAUUCCCCGUUUUGCAGUUGUCAGGAUCAGCCAUGAGUACUUAGCCACCAGCUCCUCUUGAAGGACACAUGAUUGUACAUGUUCCCCAACUACCAAAAGUCUUUUGUGCUGAAAUACUCCAUAAACUUCUGAACUUGGUUCAGGCAAAAUGAAUUUGCUUGGAAUGCUAUAGUUGGGGUCAUGAAAAUGUGGCACCUUUCAUUUAAAAAACUACUACGAAGACUACCCUGGAACCAAAUUUGUCAUCCUCAGAAGCCACAACCUAGGGUUUAUCAGUUGAAACAGUAAAACAAUCGAUGUUUUUGUUGUGAAAUUGUUUUGUUGUUUGUUUUUUGUUUUUUUUUUCAGCAAGCUCAAUCUAUGAAAAAAGUGUCUCUACUACUUCUCUUUCAGAUAUGUGAACUUCUUUGCAAAAUGAUCUGAGGUAUUACUAGUGAGAUUAGCUAACAGCUGCAAAAUGGAACAGUUUUGCUGUGGAUAGGUGAUUAAAAAAAAUCACAGUCGAUCAGCAUAAUACUGAUUAGUAAGGUAAGGUCUUUCAGACAUUGACCAAAGGCUGAUACUUUUGGUGAUAAUGCAUUUAUUCUGAGCUUGCAAACAGAAGUAGUGAUUAUAAGCCAUUGCAGAAAGAACUGGUAAAUAAAGUACUUUGUAAA